AACAUAGGUAGUGGUAGAAUGGCUGAGUAAGCAUUAGACUGUAAAUCUAAAGACAGAGGUUAAGCCCUUUUUCUAUCA
This 78-nucleotide transfer RNA is filed under the name Cheirogaleus medius (lesser dwarf lemur). RNAcentral's name for it is "tRNA-Tyr". The stretch from base 13 to 78 matches the Rfam family "tRNA". Rfam says of the family: Transfer RNA (tRNA) molecules are approximately 80 nucleotides in length. Their secondary structure includes four short double-helical elements and three loops (D, anti-codon, and T loops). Further hydrogen bonds mediate the characteristic L-shaped molecular structure. tRNAs have two regions of fundamental functional importance: the anti-codon, which is responsible for specific mRNA codon recognition, and the 3' end, to which the tRNAs corresponding amino acid is attached (by aminoacyl-tRNA synthetases). tRNAs cope with the degeneracy of the genetic code in two manners: having more than one tRNA (with a specific anti-codon) for a particular amino acid; and 'wobble' base-pairing, i.e. permitting non-standard base-pairing at the 3rd anti-codon position. Lineage: Eukaryota; Metazoa; Chordata; Mammalia; Primates; Cheirogaleidae. The record is from RNAcentral.